This 253-nucleotide ribosomal RNA is filed under the name uncultured bacterium. Its description in RNAcentral is "partial 16S ribosomal RNA". It matches the Rfam family "Bacterial small subunit ribosomal RNA", at positions 524 to 776 of the family's 1533-position model. The record is from RNAcentral.
UACGGAGGGUGCAAGCGUUAUCCGGAUUUACUGGGUUUAAAGGGUGCGCAGGCGGAUAUGUAAGUCAAUGGUGAAAUCUCCGGGCUUAACCCGGAAACUGCCGUUGAUACUAUAUAUCUUGAAUGCUGUGGAGGUAAGCAGAAUAUGUCAUGUAGCGGUGAAAUGCUUAGAGAUGACAUAGAAUACCUAUUGCGAAGGCAGCUUACUACGCAGAUAUUGACGCUCAUGCACGAAAGCGUGGGGAUCAAACAGG